RNAcentral lists this ribosomal RNA (433 nucleotides) under uncultured bacterium. RNAcentral's name for it is "partial 16S ribosomal RNA". It matches the Rfam family "Bacterial small subunit ribosomal RNA", at positions 29 to 507 of the family's 1533-position model. The record is from RNAcentral.
AACGAACGCUGGCGGUAUGCCUAACACUUGCAAGUCGAACGAGACCUUCGGGUCUAGUGGCGCACGGGUGCGUAACGCGUGGGAACCUGCCCUUAGGUUCGGAAUAACUCCCCGAAAGGGGUGCUAAUACCGGAUAAUGUCUUCGGACCAAAGAUUUAUCGCCUUUGGAUGGGCCCGCGUUGGAUUAGCUAGUUGGUAGGGUAAAAGCCUACCAAGGCGACGAUCCAUAGCUGGUCUGAGAGGAUGAUCAGCCACACUGGGACUGAGACACGGCCCAGACUCCUACGGGAGGCAGCAGUGGGGAAUAUUGGACAAUGGGCGAAAGCCUGAUCCAGCAAUGCCGCGUGAGUGAUGAAGGCCUUAGGGUUGUAAAGCUCUUUUACCCGGGAUGAUAAUGACAGUACCGGGAGAAUAAGCUCCGGCUAACUCCGUG